RNAcentral lists this ribosomal RNA (292 nucleotides) under uncultured bacterium. RNAcentral's name for it is "partial 16S ribosomal RNA". It matches the Rfam family "Bacterial small subunit ribosomal RNA", at positions 505 to 796 of the family's 1533-position model. The record is from RNAcentral.
GUGCCAGCAGCCGCGGUAAUACGAAGGGGGCUAGCGUUGCUCGGAAUCACUGGGCGUAAAGGGUGCGUAGGCGGGUUUUUAAGUCAGAGGUGAAAUCCUGGAGCUCAACUCCAGAACUGCCUUUGAUACUGAGAAUCUUGAGUAUGGGAGAGGUGAGUGGAACUGCGAGUGUAGAGGUGAAAUUCGUAGAUAUUCGCAAGAACACCAGUGGCGAAGGCGGCUCACUGGCCCAUAACUGACGCUGAGGCACGAAAGCGUGGGGAGCAAACAGGAUUAGAUACCCUCGUAGUCC